RNAcentral lists this ribosomal RNA (754 nucleotides) under uncultured beta proteobacterium. RNAcentral's name for it is "bacterial SSU rRNA". It matches the Rfam family "Bacterial small subunit ribosomal RNA", at positions 14 to 763 of the family's 1533-position model. The record is from RNAcentral. Lineage: Bacteria; Pseudomonadati; Pseudomonadota; Betaproteobacteria.
UGAUCCUGGCUCAGAUUGAACGCUGGCGGCAUGCCUUACACAUGCAAGUCGAGCGGCAGCGCGGGGGCAACCCUGGCGGCGAGCGGCGCACGGGUGAGUAAUGCAUCGGAACGUGUCCUCUUGUGGGGGAUAACCAGUCGAAAGACUGGCUAAUACCGCAUGAGCACGAGAGUGGAAAGCGGGGGACCGCAAGGCCUCGCGCGAGAGGAGCGGCCGAUGCCGGAUUAGCUAGUUGGUGGGGUAACGGCCCACCAAGGCGACGAUCCGUAGCUGGUUUGAGAGAACGACCAGCCACACUGGGACUGAGACACGGCCCAGACUCCUACGGGAGGCAGCAGUGGGGAAUUUUGGACAAUGGGGGCAACCCUGAUCCAGCCAUGCCGCGUGAGUGAAGAAGGCCUUCGGGUUGUAAAGCUCUUUCGGCCGGAACGAAAUCGCGCGGGUGAACAAUCCGCGUGGAUGACGGUACCGGAAGAAGAAGCACCGGCUAACUACGUGCCAGCAGCCGCGGUAAUACGUAGGGUGCGAGCGUUAAUCGGAAUUACUGGGCGUAAAGUGUGCGCAGGCCGCCGAGCAUGUCGAGUGUGAAAGCCCCGAGCUCAACUUGGGAACUGCGCUCGAAACUACUUGGCUAGAGUGUGGCAGAGGGAGGUGGAAUUCCACGUGUAGCGGUGAAAUGCGUAGAGAUGUGGAGGAACACCGAUGGCGAAGGCAGCCUCCUGGGCCAACACUGACGCUCAUGCACGAAAGCGUG